RNAcentral lists this ribosomal RNA (465 nucleotides) under uncultured bacterium. RNAcentral describes it as "partial 16S ribosomal RNA". It matches the Rfam family "Bacterial small subunit ribosomal RNA", at positions 28 to 507 of the family's 1533-position model. The record is from RNAcentral.
GACGAACGCUGGCGGCGUGCCUAACACAUGCGAGUCGAACGGAGUCGGCCCCGCAAGGGACUGACUUAGUGGCGAACGGGUGAGUAACGCGUGAGCAACCUGCCUUUCAGUGGGGGACAACAGUUGGAAACGACUGCUAAUACCGCAUAAUGCAUUUUGACCGCAUGAUCGAGAUGCCAAAGAUUUAUUGCUGAAAGAUGGGCUCGCGUCUGAUUAGAUAGUUGGUGAGGUAACGGCCCACCAAGUCGACGAUCAGUAGCCGGACUGAGAGGUUGAACGGCCACAUUGGGACUGAGAUACGGCACAGACUCCUACGGGAGGAAGCAGUGGGGAAUAUUGGGCAAUGGGGGAAACCCUGACCCAGCAACGCCGCGUGAAGGAAGAAGGCUUUCGGGUUGUAAACUUCUUUUACCAGGGACGAAGAAAGUGACGGUACCUGGAGAAAAAGCCACGGCUAACUACGUG